AUACGGAGGGUGCAAGCGUUAAUCGGAAUCACUGGGCGUAAAGCGCGCGCAGGCGGCUAUUUAAGUUGGAUGUGAAAGCCUACGGCUCAACCGUAGAACUGCAUCCAAAACUAUUUAGCUAGAGUGUGGGAGAGGAAGAUGGAAUUAGUUGUGUAGGGGUAAAAUCCGUAGAGAUAACUAGGAAUACCAAAAGCGAAGGCAAUCUUCUGGAACACUACUGACGCUGAGGCGCGAAAGCGUGGGGAGCAAACAGGAUUAGAAACCCUAGUAGUCC
RNAcentral lists this ribosomal RNA (274 nucleotides) under uncultured bacterium. RNAcentral describes it as "partial 16S ribosomal RNA". It matches the Rfam family "Bacterial small subunit ribosomal RNA", at positions 523 to 796 of the family's 1533-position model. The record is from RNAcentral.